CACGGGGGGCGCAAGCGUUAUUCGGAAUUAUUGGGCGUAAAGGGCGCGUAGGCGGUCUUAUCGGUCAGAUGUGAAAGCCCAGGGCUCAACCCUGGACGUGCAUUUGAAACAGUAAGACUUGAGUACGGGAGAGGAAAGCGGAAUUCCUGGUGUAGAGGUGAAAUUCGUAGAUAUCAGGAGGAACACCGAUGGCGAAGGCAGCUUUCUGGACCGAUACUGACGCUGAGGCGCGAAGGCGUGGGUAGCGAACAGG
RNAcentral lists this ribosomal RNA (253 nucleotides) under uncultured bacterium. RNAcentral describes it as "partial 16S ribosomal RNA". It matches the Rfam family "Bacterial small subunit ribosomal RNA", at positions 524 to 776 of the family's 1533-position model. The record is from RNAcentral.